This 860-nucleotide long non-coding RNA is filed under the name Homo sapiens (human). RNAcentral describes it as "non-protein coding lnc-KDM5C-4:1". Lineage: Eukaryota; Metazoa; Chordata; Mammalia; Primates; Hominidae. The record is from RNAcentral.
UCCUUCUAGGGAAGGGCUGGGGAGGAGGGGGUGGUGACACGGUGGAGACACCGGCUAGGCCAGGGGGCCUGCCCUUGGGACAGGUCCAGACCCAUGGAGCCCCCCGGGAGGAGCAGCAGGGAAGAGGAGGAGGAGGAGGAGACUGAGGAAGAGGAAGAGGAAGACGCUCACCAGUUCUGCUGUCCGGCCUCCGAGUGCAGUAGUCCCUCCUCUCGGUAACUGAGAGGACAAGGGCCAUUUUCUAUGCAGAAGCAAAAGCCUUAACCAGCCCCUCCUUCCCCCCACCCACCCCCCCGCAGAUUCCCCCAUGGGACCCUGUCCCCUGCUUCAGGAACCAGAUGGGCAAGCAUCGUGCCCCUUCCUCCCCCCACCUUCUUCUUGGAAUUCCCAUCCCCACUGCUGUCUCCUCUGGACUCCAGCCCCUGAAUUAAAGAGAGCUGGAGCCCUAGGUCCGACUAAAAUGUGGGAGAAGCAGAGCUUGGAGCUUGGAGCUUGGAACCUGGAUCCUCCCGUACCCGCACUCCCACUUCCCAGGCACCCUGGAGCCUGCCACUACUGGAGAGGUCUCCAAAUGACAUCCCAAGGACCUACCUCUGUCCUCUGUGAGCACAAACAGAGAUGCAGGGUGCCUAGGGCUCAGAGGACCAGACGGGGGCAGGACCCAGCCUGCCUAGUUCCCUGUCGUUUGUUCCCUUGCUGUGGCCAUUGCUGCCAUCUCCUCCACUGCUUGAAGGCCUCACCCCAUGCCCUCUGCCACUCCCAUAGUGCUCUGUAAAUAUUAUCAGGAGGAAAAGGCCUCUCAGAGUGCGUGUUGCUGUGUACAAAGGAAUUUCCAUCAAUAAAAGCUGAUCUCUUCUCUC